AUUGAACGCUGGCGGCAGGCUUAACACAUGCAAGUCGAGCGAGCGGCGGACGGGUAAGAAAUGUCUGGGAAACUGCCUGAUGGAGGGGGAUAACUACUGGAAACGGUAGCUAAUACCGCAUACCAUCAGAUGUGCCCAGAUGGGAUUAGCUAGGAGGUGGGGUAAUGGCGCACCUAGGCGACGAUCCCUAGCGGGUCUGAGAGGAUGACCAGCCACAUUGGAACGUGGACACGGUGCACACUCCUACGGGAGGCAGCAGUGGGGAAUAUUGCACAAUGGGCGCAAGCCUGAUGCAGCCAUGCCGCGUGUGUGAUGAAGGCCUUCGGGUUGUAAAGCACUUUCAGCGAGGAGGCGUUACUCGCAGAAGAAGCACCGGCUAACUCCGUGCCAGCAGCCGCGGUAAUAC
Molecule: ribosomal RNA, 406 nt
Filed under: uncultured bacterium
Lineage: Bacteria
Description: partial 16S ribosomal RNA
Rfam family: Bacterial small subunit ribosomal RNA
Source: RNAcentral